This 440-nucleotide ribosomal RNA is filed under the name uncultured bacterium. RNAcentral describes it as "partial 16S ribosomal RNA". It matches the Rfam family "Bacterial small subunit ribosomal RNA", at positions 338 to 795 of the family's 1533-position model. The record is from RNAcentral.
CCUACGGAUGGCAGCAGUGGGGAAUAUUGCACAAUGGGGGAAACCCUGAUGCAGCGACGCCGCGUGAGUGAAGAAGUAUUUCGGUAUGUAAAGCUCUAUCAGCAGGGAAGAAAAUGACAGCACCUGACCAUGAAGCCCAGGCUAACUACGUGCCAGCAGCCGCGGUAAUACGUAGGGGGCAAGCGUUAUCCGGAUUUACUGGGUGUAAAGGGAGCGUAGACGGUUAUGUAAGUCUGGAGUGAAAGUCCGGGGCCCAACCCCGGAACUGCCUUGGAAACUGUGUAACUGGAGUACAGGAGGGGCAGGCGGAAUUCCUGGUGUAGCGGUGAAAUGCGUAGAUAUCAGGAGGAACACCGGCGGCGAAGGCGGCCUACUGGACUGAAACUGACGUUGAGGCUCGAAAGCGUGGGGAGCAAACAGGAUUAGAUACCCCAGUAGUC